AUGUACAGGAUAGCUACCCCUAGUCGAUCAGUCAUAGUGACUCCCCAACUAGUAGUUCCAUCUAUGGCCACCAUCCGUUCUGUCCGCAAAAGAUGGAGAGCCAAGCAGUACAUCUCCGCAGCUAUGCUGGGAACGCUGUUCGUUGUCGCCCUGGUGGCCGCUACCUCCAUCAGCCUCGCCCCAGCACGGAUGAGGUUUUCCCUCAUAACUGCGCAAAUCAUCACCUACAGAGAUCCACCCACCGGUCCGGACACCAACACACACUUGAACUUCACCCUCCAGGCCGAGAACACCAGCCAACGAACGGCUGUGUCGUAUGAGUCCAUGAGCGCCGAGGUAUGGUACGGUCCCGCAGCCACGGCGUGGGUCCGGACAAAGAAUGCUGCGCUACCGGCCGGGUGGCAACCGCCGAGCAGCGUGGUCAACAUCAGCGUCUCGGCUGACUACGGAUAUCACCCGACUAGUAAGGUUACCGACUACUGCCGGGUGGUAGUGAAGUCGAAGGUGUUUUUCAGGUUCGGAAGCUACCAAAUGUUGUUGGGCCUCCGCUGA
This 552-nucleotide ribosomal RNA is filed under the name Triticum aestivum (bread wheat). RNAcentral's name for it is "partial small subunit ribosomal RNA". The record is from RNAcentral. Lineage: Eukaryota; Viridiplantae; Streptophyta; Magnoliopsida; Poales; Poaceae.